RNAcentral lists this ribosomal RNA (460 nucleotides) under uncultured bacterium. Its description in RNAcentral is "partial 16S ribosomal RNA". It matches the Rfam family "Bacterial small subunit ribosomal RNA", at positions 338 to 795 of the family's 1533-position model. The record is from RNAcentral.
CCUACGGGAGGCAGCAGUGAGGAAUAUUGGUCAAUGGGCGCGAGCCUGAACCAGCCAAGUAGCGUGAAGGAUGACUGCCCUACGGGUUGUAAACUUCUUUUAUAAAGGAAUAAAGUGAGGCACGUGUGCCUUUUUGUAUGUACUUUAUGAAUAAGGAUCGGCUAACUCCGUGCCAUCAGCCGCGGUAAUACGGAGGAUCCGAGCGUUAUCCGGAUUUAUUGGGUUUAAAGGGAGCGUAGAUGGGUUGUUAAGUCAGUUGUGAAAGUUUGCGGCUCAACCGUAAAAUUGCAAUUGAUACUGGCAGUCUUGAGUACAGUUGAGGUAGGCGGAAUUCGUGGUGUAGCGGUGAAAUGCUUAGAUAUCACGAAGAACUCCGAUUGCGAAGGCAGCUUACUAAACUGCCACUGACAUUGAUGCUCGAAAGUGUGGGUAUCAAACAGGAGUAGAUACCCGAGUAGUC